RNAcentral lists this ribosomal RNA (827 nucleotides) under uncultured marine bacterium. Its description in RNAcentral is "bacterial SSU rRNA". It matches the Rfam family "Bacterial small subunit ribosomal RNA", at positions 60 to 935 of the family's 1533-position model. The record is from RNAcentral.
AGUCGAACGAAGUAGCAAUACUUAGUGGCAGACGGGUGAGUAACAUGUAGGUAUCUACCCUUUGGCCUGGAAUAACACGAGGAAACUUGUGCUAAUACCGGAUAAGUCUUUACGGAGAAAGCUUUAUGCACCAUUGGAUGAGCCUGCACUUGAUUAGUUUGUUGGUGGGGUAAUGGCCUACCAAGACUGUGAUCAAUAGCUGAUUUGAGAGGAUGAUCAGCCACAUUGGGACUGAGACACGGCCCAAACUCCUACGGGAGGCAGCAGUGGGGGAUCUUGCACAAUGGAGGAAACUCUGAUGCAGCGAUGCCGCGUGAGUGAAGAAGGCCCUUGGGUUGUAAAGCUCUUUCGUCGGGGAAGAAAAUGACUGUACCCGAAUAAGAAGGUCCGGCUAACUUCGUGCCAGCAGCCGCGGUAAUACGAAGGGACCCAGCGUAGUUCGGAAUUACUGGGCUUAAAGAGUUCGUAGGUGGUUGAAAAAGUUGGUGGUGAAAUCCCAGAGCUUAACUCUGGAACUGCCAUCAAAACUUUUCAGCUAGAGUAUGAUAGAGGAAAGCAGAAUUUCUAGUGUAGAGGUGAAAUUCGUAGAUAUUAGAAAGAAUACCAAUUGCGAAGGCAGCUUUCUGGAUCAUUACUGACACUGAGGAACGAAAGCAUGGGUAGCGAAGAGGAUUAGAUACCCUCGUAGUCCAUGCCGUAAACGAUGUGUGUUAGACGUUGGAAAUUUAUUUUCAGUGUCGCAGCGAAAGCGAUAAACACACCGCCUGGGGAGUACGACCGCAAGGUUAAAACUCAAAUGAAUUGACGGGGACCCGCACAAGUAGUGG